RNAcentral lists this ribosomal RNA (359 nucleotides) under uncultured bacterium. RNAcentral's name for it is "partial 16S ribosomal RNA". It matches the Rfam family "Bacterial small subunit ribosomal RNA", at positions 338 to 695 of the family's 1533-position model. The record is from RNAcentral.
CCUACGGGUGGCAGCAGUGAGGAAUAUUGGUCAAUGGCCGGAAGGCUGAACCAGCCAAGCCGCGUGAAGGACGAAGGUGCCAAGCAUUGUAAACUUCUUUUGUCAAGGGACAAAAUCAGGCUCGAGAGCCUGACCGAGGGGACUUGAAGAAAAAGCAUCGGCUAACUCCGUGCCAGGAGCCGCGGUAAUACGGAGGAUGCGAGCGUUAGCCGGAUGUAGUGGGGUUAAAGGGGGCGUAGGCGGACUGUUAAGUCAGCGGUAAAAGCCCGGGGCUCAACCCCGGCGCGCCGUUGAAACUGGCUGUCUUGAGCUGUCGAGAGUUAUGCGGAAUGCGCAGUGUAGCGGUGAAAUGCUUAGAU